AUCUAGCUGAAUAGUUCCAAAUAGGACGAAACUCGUUUCCUGGAU
Non-coding RNA from Schistosoma margrebowiei, 45 nucleotides. The record is from Rfam. Lineage: Eukaryota; Metazoa; Platyhelminthes; Trematoda; Strigeidida; Schistosomatidae.